Molecule: long non-coding RNA, 645 nt
Organism: Talpa occidentalis (Iberian mole)
Lineage: Eukaryota; Metazoa; Chordata; Mammalia; Eulipotyphla; Talpidae
Exons: 3
Source: RefSeq, a predicted model, not a curated record
UUGUCCAGCCAAGUUCCAUUUUCAUAGAUUAUGGGAGCAACUUGGAGCCAGGUUAAAGUGACAGGAGAAGACAAAAGCCACCCAGAGUCAAAACUACCUUUGAAGACACCUUUGAAGAAAGCAUCUUGUUGAAGACACUUUGUGGAACACCAUGUUUCAGUGACCAAGGACCACGUCUUCACUGAGCUGAAAAAGAGGAGACUUGGAAUGGGAGAGCACGCCUUUGUGUCAGUUAUGUUGAUAUGAAUAAGUGUGUCAUUUCCUCCUCAUAGAAGACAUGCGAGGACAGUAUUAUGACUACCUUUUCAGAGAAGCAGUAUGAAUGAUAGAAUAAGGAGAGAAUCUACCUCUCUGAGCCCUUCUACCAUGGCGGUGAAUUUCUAAAGCAGGAUGACCUACUACAAAUAUUCUACAGUAUCAACUAACAACCAGGCCACAGACUGCUAAGGGUGAAGAUGUUUCUGGAAAGUACAAAUAGGCCAGGGGGGAGAACUUCAUUAAUAUUCACUGAUACAAGACCCUUACUGAAUGCUGGGAAAUCCCUAGUCCAAUGAUAACCAUCCUCCCUAAACUGCGGGAGUAACUGUUGGGGGGAAUUUAAAAAUCAUGUUCCAAUCUUUCCAACUAUAAAAGAAGAAAUGCUAA